RNAcentral lists this ribosomal RNA (293 nucleotides) under uncultured prokaryote. RNAcentral's name for it is "partial 16S ribosomal RNA". It matches the Rfam family "Archaeal small subunit ribosomal RNA", at positions 455 to 747 of the family's 1478-position model. The record is from RNAcentral.
GUGCCAGCCGCCGCGGUAAUACCGGCAGCCCAAGUGAUGGCCGAUCUUAUUGGGCCUAAAGCGUCCGUAGCUGGCCGCGCAAGUCCAUCGGGAAAUCCACCCGCUCAACGGGUGGACGUCCGGUGGAAACUGCACGGCUUGGGACCGGAAGGCGCGACGGGUACGUCCGGGGUAGGAGUGAAAUCCCGUAAUCCUGGACGGACCGCCGAUGGCGAAAGCACGUCGCGAGAACGGAUCCGACAGUGAGGGACGAAAGCUAGGGUCUCGAACCGGAUUAGAAACCCCUGUAGUCC